UGCGGAAUUUUAGAUAAUGGAGGGAACUCUGAUCUAGCGACGCCGCGUGCAGGAAGAAGGUCUUCGGAUUGUAAACUGCUGUGGUAAGGGAAAAAUGCUAUGUAGAGUGGAAAGCUACAUAGAGGGAUGGUACCUUACUAGAAAGCCCCGGCUAACUACGUG
This 162-nucleotide ribosomal RNA is filed under the name uncultured bacterium. RNAcentral describes it as "partial 16S ribosomal RNA". It matches the Rfam family "Bacterial small subunit ribosomal RNA", at positions 355 to 507 of the family's 1533-position model. The record is from RNAcentral. RNAcentral also lists the same sequence under 1 other name.